Molecule: transfer RNA, 73 nt
Filed under: archaeon
Lineage: Archaea
Also listed under: 1 other name
Description: tRNA-Val
Rfam family: tRNA
About the family: Transfer RNA (tRNA) molecules are approximately 80 nucleotides in length. Their secondary structure includes four short double-helical elements and three loops (D, anti-codon, and T loops).
Source: RNAcentral
GGGUCAAUAGUCUAGUGGUUAUGACGCCGCCCUUACAAGGCGGAGGUCGCCAGUUCAAAUCUGGCUUGACCCA